Molecule: long non-coding RNA, 1416 nt
Filed under: Marmota monax (woodchuck)
Lineage: Eukaryota; Metazoa; Chordata; Mammalia; Rodentia; Sciuridae
Source: RNAcentral
AGGCAAAGUAAUUCUCUUAAAAACUUUGAAGGGUUUGCUAUUGUUUUAUGGACUUUUAUAACUAAGAUAUUCAUAAAGUGUUUCUUGAUUAGUUAUUAAGAGACCACAAUGUAUAAAUUGCUGCCAAGUACCACAAAGAAAUACAAUAUAUAGGAUCUUGUUUGACUUGAAGAGUCAUAAUCAUGUAAUUGUCAUAAUAAUUGGUUAUUGUGAUAUUUUUAAUAUUUACAAGAAAGGGAUAUUUGUAGUUCAACAAAUAAUUGUGGGCUUAUCUAAAAUCUUGCCAAAUAUUGCAUAUACAGCAUAUAUGACCACUUGGUUUUAAUCAAUAUUUCUCAAAAGAUGCAUACUAUCUAAUCUGUGGAAGUUUGUAAGCAUAUAAAAAGACAAGUACCACAUGGAGACUCUAAAAAAGUUGAAGUCAAAGAAGCAAAGAGUAGAAUGGUGGUUGCCAGUGAAGGAGAGGUUGGGAUUAGAUGUUAGGAGACAUAAACUUUCAGUUAGAAGAAAUAAGUUUAAGAGCUCCAUUGGACAAUACCACAUGACCAGUUAUUAUCAACAUCUGUACUUGAAAAUCAUGAAAAUAGUAGAUUUUAGGUGUUCUUAGCUAAAAAAAAGUAUCUGAAAUAAUUUAACCAUCCUAUAAUAUGUAUUCCAAACCAUUAUGUUGUACACUAAAAAUACAUACAUUUUAUUCAUCAAUUAAGAUGAAAUAGGAAACAAAAUAGGAACAAACCUUAUUAUAACUAAAUACAGUCUUAGAUAAAGUCAAACUUGGAUGUGUCAUUUUGUAGGUGAGAAAAUCGACACAAAUAAAAAAAAUGAGAUAGUUCUGAGUCAUAGUGAUUAUCUAUACAACUUUAGUUUUGUCACUAAGAUCUUGAAUAUUGCUAGAGAUGGCAGAUGGUACAUAUGAUUUAAAUCUUUCUAAAGAGUUGCUAAGUACUCAAUUAAAAACAUCUUAGAUAAUUAUGGAAAUGAACAAACAUAAAGAUGGAAGAAUAUGUGCACAUAUCAUAAAAUAAAUAUACAAUACAUAUAGAUGUAUAUUGAAAUAUAUGUAUCUCAAUGGCUGAGACAGUUGUAAAUAAAAUUGUACUUUAAUCAUAUUGUAAUGAAUAUUACAUUUUAUCAGAUGUUUUAAAAUGUUAAAUCACAUGUGUCUUGUCCUAUAAUUAUUUAUUGAUCUGACCAAAUGUGUGUAUGAAGAAAAUGCUGAUCUUAUAUGUUGAGGAAGAGUAGCUUUUAGUAGCAUUUUAGAAAAAGAAGUCACUUUGAGUGACCCUUUUUUAUAUAGGUCUUGACUGCUCUUAAUUUGAAUUGAAUAGGUAAUUAGCAGGGAGAAUUACCUAGAGAACACAAGUUAUUUUCAGUUGUCCACUGGGAAUUAGUUAGUAAGGAUUCAGCCUAGUGUAC